AGAGCGAACGCUGGCGGCAGGCUUAACACAUGCAAGUCGAGCGGGCGUAGCAAUACGUCAGCGGCAGACGGGUGAGUAACGCGUGGGAACAUACCUUUUGGUUCGGAACAACACAGGGAAACUUGUGCUAAUACCGGAUAAGCCCUUACGGGGAAAGAUUUAUCGCCGAAAGAUUGGCCCGCGUCUGAUUAGCUAGUUGGUGAGGUAACGGCUCACCAAGGCGACGAUCAGUAGCUGGUCUGAGAGGAUGAUCAGCCACAUUGGGACUGAGACACGGCCCAAACUCCUACGGGAGGCAGCAGUGGGGAAUAUUGGACAAUGGGCGCAAGCCUGAUCCAGCCAUGCCGCGUGAGUGAUGAAGGCCCUAGGGUUGUAAAGCUCUUUUGUGCGGGAAGAUAAUGACGGUACCGCAAGAAUAACGCCCCGGCUAACUUCGCGCCAGCAGCCGC
This 449-nucleotide ribosomal RNA is filed under the name uncultured bacterium. RNAcentral describes it as "SSU rRNA". It matches the Rfam family "Bacterial small subunit ribosomal RNA", at positions 26 to 518 of the family's 1533-position model. The record is from RNAcentral.